GGGAACGAAUAUACUCCCAACCCCUGUGAACUACCUGAACGUUGCUUCGGCGGGACCGCCCCGGCGCCCUUCCGGCCCGGAACCAGGCGCCCGCCGGAGGACCCAAACUCUUGUUUAAUUAGUGGCAUACUUCUGAGUCUCCUAACAAAAUAAAUUAAAACUUUCAACAACGGAUCUCUUGGCUCUGGCAUCGAUGAAAAACGCACCCAAAUGCGAUAACUAAUGUGAAUUGCAGAAUUCGGGGAAUCAUCAAAUCUUUGAACCCACUUUGCUCCCGCCAGAAUUCUGGGUGGGGAUGCCUGUUCAAGAGUUAUUUCAACCCUCAUCCCCCAGGACUUUGUCAUUGGGGACCGUGCCCUUGACGCCCCCUAUAUGAUGCGGCGACAUUCACGAGGCCCUCACCCCGCAUAAUGGAAACUCCCCUCCGCUUGCAGACGGACAGCAAGGUUGCCCCAAUAAAACACCACCUUUUUUAAAAGUUUAGACUCCAUUUGCCUUCUGAGAAUCCCCUCGAGAUUCUACCUUACAACUAGUGUGAAAAAAAUGUUCUUGAAAUUCUGUAGGAGUUUCCAGCUGAAGAUAAACAUAUUAUAAACACUAAUUCAAAGGUCUAUCUUUAUUGAUAAACAUCUUACAGUUCCUCCGUUAUAAGAAAUUCGUCUUCACUUUUUUCCUUUACUAUAUUUGGAUUCUUCAUCCCUUCCUUAGUGAAAUCCGCAGCCUGCUUUGAGUGCAAAAUACCAACUUGAUUGCGUC
This 756-nucleotide ribosomal RNA is filed under the name Epibryon hepaticola. RNAcentral's name for it is "eukaryotic LSU rRNA". The stretch from base 159 to 313 matches the Rfam family "5.8S ribosomal RNA". The record is from RNAcentral. Lineage: Eukaryota; Fungi; Ascomycota; Eurotiomycetes; Chaetothyriales; Epibryaceae.